This 252-nucleotide ribosomal RNA is filed under the name uncultured bacterium. Its description in RNAcentral is "partial 16S ribosomal RNA". It matches the Rfam family "Bacterial small subunit ribosomal RNA", at positions 524 to 775 of the family's 1533-position model. The record is from RNAcentral.
UACGUAGGGUGCGAGCGUUAAUCGGAAUUACUGGGCGUAAAGCGUGCGCAGGCGGUUGUGCAAGACGGAUGUGAAAUCCCUGGGCUUAACCUAGGAAUUGCAUUCGUGACUGCACAGCUAGAGUGUGUCAGAGGGGGGUAGAAUUCCACGUGUAGCAGUGAAAUGCGUAGAGAUGUGGAGGAAUACCGAUGGCGAAGGCAGCCCCCUGGGAUAACACUGACGCUCAUGCACGAAAGCGUGGGGAGCAAACAG